GACCAGACUCCUACGGGAGGCAGCAGUGGGGAAUAUUGGGCAAUGGGGGAAACCCUGACCCAGCGACGCCGCGUGAGGGAAGAAGGUUUUCGGAUUGUAAACCUCUGUCCUUGGUGACGAUAAUGACGGUAGCCAAGGAGGAAGCCACGGCUAACUACGUGCCAGCAGCCGCGGUAAUACGUAGGAGGCGAGCGUUAUCCGGAUUCACUGGGUGUAAAGGGAGCGUAGACGGCCAUGCAAGCCAGGGGUGAAAGCCCGGGGCCCAACCCCGGGACUGCCCUUGGAACUGUGCGGCUAGAGUGCGGGAGGGGCAGGCGGAAUUCCUGGUGUAGCGGUGAAAUGCGUAGAUAUCAGGAGGAACACCGGCGGCGAAGGCGGCCUGCUGGACCGCGACUGACGUUGAGGCUCGAAAGCGUGGGGAGCGAACAGGAUUAGAUACCCGAGUAA
RNAcentral lists this ribosomal RNA (447 nucleotides) under uncultured bacterium. RNAcentral's name for it is "bacterial SSU rRNA". It matches the Rfam family "Bacterial small subunit ribosomal RNA", at positions 329 to 793 of the family's 1533-position model. The record is from RNAcentral.